GUAGGUGAACCUGCGGAAGGAUCAUUAAUGAAACUUCAAAGUCGGCCGACAGUUGUUGCUGGUGGUUUACUCCACAUGUGCACAUUGUUGGUCGCAAAUCCACACACACCUGUGCAUCUAUGACUCGAGGUUGUAACGACUGAGAGUAAAUUUUACACACUCUUGUAUGUAACGGAAUGUCUUUUUGUGCGAUAAUGUACAAUAUAAACAACUUUCAACAACGGAUCUCUUGGCUCUC
This 238-nucleotide unclassified non-coding RNA is filed under the name rhizosphere metagenome. RNAcentral describes it as "partial ribosomal RNA internal transcribed spacer region". The record is from RNAcentral.